RNA transcript from Cryptomeria japonica (Japanese cedar), 5107 nucleotides. It is a transcript of the gene named serine/threonine-protein kinase CTR1, with no coding region annotated. The transcript is spliced from 18 exons. The record is from RefSeq and is a predicted model, not a curated record. NCBI's taxonomy places the organism in Eukaryota, Viridiplantae, Streptophyta, Pinopsida, Cupressales, Cupressaceae.
GAAUUUGUCGUUGUUGGGAAGGGAUUUUGGUUUGGGCUUUUUUGUUUGUUGGAUUUUGGAAGAAAUGUUUGAUUUUGGUGCUUUGAGCUGUGAGGAUUCAGGGUUUGGAUCGUUUAGUCAUUGUUGGCCAUUCUAGUUUGUAUGUUUGAUUUCUUACGAGACGUUUGACUUUGGCGUUUUGAGCUGUGGGGAAUUCAGGGUUUGAAUUGCUCAAUCAUUUUCAGUUUUUUUAGUUUGGAUUUUAGUUUCGGUGUUUGGAAUUUCGAAGAUUUGUGUUUUGAAAGUUUUAUUUCGGCGUUUGGAUUUUCGAAGAUUUGUGCUUUGAAUGUUCCAUUGCGGCGUUUGGAUUUUCGAAGAUUUGUGCAUUGAAUGUAUAAUUUAGGUGUCUGGAUUUUGGAGAUUCUAGAGCACUUUUGGUUUGUAUGUCUGAUGUUGGUGUUUGGAUUUUUGAAGAUUUGUGGUUCUUGAUUGUUUUACAUGCUGUCAGUGAUUUUUGUUUGGGACUUUGGAUGUUUGACUUGUUUUGGUUUGUAUGUUUGAUUUCUUCAUUCGAAAUGUGACCUUUUGUGGCUUGAAUUAUUAAACUGGGGGUUAGCGAUAAUAGUUUAGAUGUCUGGUUUUGGCCAGUCGAUUUUUGAAGAUUUGUGGUUCUUGAUUGUCAGUGAUUUUUGUUUGGGACUUUGGAUGUUUGACUUGUUUUUUUUUUAUGUUUGAUUUCUUCAUUCGAAAUGUGACCAUUUGUGGCUUGAAUUGUUUCGAUGUCUGGUUUUGGUCAGUCGAUUUUUAAAGUUUUGUAGUUUGAAUUGUUCCACAGGUUGUCAGGUGUUUUAGUUUGUAUGUUUUACUUCACGGGAGUGAUUUUCCAUAAUUAGAAGCAAGAAGCCGAGUGGCGGUUCAUCCAGCGUUUGAAGGGCGAAAGGCUUUAUAAGAGUUGGCUUUCAGCAUUAUCAAAGAAAGUUUAUUAACGGCCAGGGUAGAAAACUAGACAUUAACUUAUGAACAUGGGAGCAUGGUAUAGUGUUAAAGAUUUGGUGUAAUACCAUCGAUUUAAUCUAAUGGGAUAAAAGCACUGGUCGAUUUGUUGACUAUAUUUGCAAGGAUAAUGGUGCAUUGGACAAGUAAAAGUUCGUUUGACAAGGGCAGGGUUUGGACGUGCAUGAAUCGAAGCUAUUUUAAGUACUUCAACGGACAUUAAUUAGUAAAAGAGAAUAAAAAAAUUACUGCAGUGGAGGAACUCAGUCUUGGACCUCCUACCGUGAGUCUGAGGCAUUUUUUUAGAAGGGGGAAUCGAGGUUCUGUAUGUGUGAAGGAUGCUGCAGCUCAGGGCCAGGGAUCUCCAUUGUCAAACAAAAACAGGUUUUCGACAUGCCUGUCCGUAGGUCAGAUUACGUACCGCUGAACCAGGUGCUUGAUGAUUCUUCCAACGUGCAGAAUAAUCCCCGAAGGCAGUCACAGCCACAGUCUCAGUACGACCCUCACCGGCGGCAUUUGAGUGCAGACAGGGUUCCAUUUGAUGAUUUUGAUGAAGAUAGGCUUAGCAAGCCUCCUCUUCCAUUAAAUACAGAUGUGAGGAAUAAUAAUAAUAAUAAUAGUAAUAAUAAUAAUAGCAGGGAUCUGUUUUAUUAUGAUGACAGGAACGCUGUUGGGGUAAUUGAGAAUUCAAACUAUAAUGAAUGGACACCGACAUCUUCUAGACCGGGGUUUUACACUGAUAGAAAGUCUCUGCACUCCUCUGUAGAUCCUGUGAAUUUAAUUGAAUAUUGGAAACAUGCUUAUUCAGAAAACCAUGUAAUUGAGCACAGAAAAUCUGCUUAUUCACAGCCAGACCGAGUAAUUGACCAGCAUAGAAAACUUCAGCAACAGCCUUAUACGCCACCUGAACAUUCAAAUCUAAAACAGACUUAUUCCCCAACAGAACAUAGGAAGCCACUGUCGUAUUCUCUUACUGAGUAUGGAAAUGAACAGAGGAAGCCAGGACAAGGACCGACCUUUUGGUCUGCAGAUCAUUCAGAAGAUCAUGGCUUACAGAGGGGGAAUAAUUCAAAUGCAUGGUUUGGUGAUCGGAACUCAACUGGGAGUAACAGUAGGGUUCAUGGCACAUCAUCAUCUGGGUUGCAGAGGCAGUCAAGCGGAAGCAGCUAUGCUGACAGUUUUCUUUCAGGGGAUUUCCCCCUACCAACUCUCUCACCUCCCAUGUCUUUGAAUGCCAGUGAUUCUGCCUUCAUUAAUGCACUUUAUGAGGAGGGAUGUAAGUAUGAUGAUCCCAGAAUUGGGGGUAAGUAUAGCAAUGGCUCUGCAAAGAGUUGGGCACAGCAGACUGAAGAGAGCUAUAAUUUGCAGCUUACUCUUGCACUCCGGCUUACUGCAGAAGCAUCCUUGACAGAUGAACUUCAUUUCCUUGUCAAUGAUUUUCAAGGAGCCCCUAAUAACACAUCUAUAGAUUCUGUUAAAACAUCGGAAGGUGCAUCUCAUCGUUUUUGGGUAAAUGGCAGCUUAUCAUAUCAUGACAAAAUAGAAAAUGGAUUUUACCAUAUUUGGGGGAUGAACCCAUAUGUUUGGACAAUAUGCAACAAAUUAGAUGAAGGUCAUCAGAUGCCGUCCUUAGAAUCACUGAAAUCAGUCGAUGCAACCGAUUCAUCAAUGGAGGUCGUUGUGAUAGAUAAGCAGGGUGAUUCACACCUCCGGGAGCUUGAGAACAAGGCACUUGCGCUGGCUUAUGGCUGUAGUAACAAUAGACAAGUUGUUGGAGAACUUGGGAAACUUGUUUGCAUGCUGAUGGGGGGUGCAUCUUUGACGGAGCAUGGAGAUCUUAUGACACGUUGGAAAGUAAGCAGUCAAAUGCUGAGAGACUGUUUAAAUAAUAUUGUCCUUCCAAUAGGCAGCUUAUCUGUGGGUCUGUGCAGGCACCGGGCUUUACUUUUCAAGGCAUUGGCAGAUAUGGUUAACUUACCUUGUCGGAUUGUUCGAGGAUGCAAAUAUUGUGGGAUGGCUGAUGGCUGCUCAUGUCUGGUUCAAUGUGACGUUGAAAGGGAAUAUUUAGUUGAUUUAAUUGGAUCACCAGGAGAAUUGAGUGAUCCAGUAUCUUUUUUCAGUGGUUUGACCUUUUUGUCAAUUGCUUCACCUUUGCGCAUGCCAGAAUUCAAAUCAUUUCAUAUGACUGAUGAGGUUAGGUCUUUAGCAAAGCAGUAUACCCAAGAAAGCCAAUCAAUGAGUGAUUUAAUCGAUGCUGCCACCUCACUUCAGGUUGCAGGUCCACUAGAGGAUAGAAGUAGCAUUGUUGGCUCUUCAGAACAAGUAACUAUUGAACCACUGGGUUCCUCUCCUAUUACAUGCACAUGCACAAAACCAACUACAGAAGGUUUAGAUGCUACAAAUGUUGCAGGCAAUAUGCCCACGGUUAAGAUAAAAAAACCAGACGAAGAGUUGACAAAGAAAGUGGAUGAAAUGAAAGCUUCUAAAAAACGUAUGGUUGCAACAGACAUAAAGCCUCCUGUUUUACCAGAUUUUUCUGCAGCUCUAGGUGUGGGGAAUGCAAAAAUACAUCUAGCAGAUAAUACAAGGAAUAUUGAUUCUCAGAGGAUUCCAGGGAUUCCCCCCUCUGGUGGUGAUCACCUUCAGCACAGACAUUUACCAGUGCAUCUGAAGGGAGAUAUGAUUUCCAAAACUCAUAUUCAAAAUUCUUCUGAGAACGAUAAAUUCUUAGUUGAACAUGGACAAAUCACUAGUGCAGAAUGUCCUCAGGAAACAGUAUUGUCAUCUCAGAUGCAGAGAGAUUUGCUACCUAAGUUACAGGUUUCUCAUCAAAAGGGUGAUGAUGGGAGACUCAAGCAGUCUGGAAGUGCACUGCAAAGCCGAUCAAAUCUUGAGUAUUCUUUGGCAAUGGAUGGUUUGGAAAUUCCAUGGGAAGAUCUUAUAUUGAAGGAGCGUAUUGGUUCUGGCUCUUUUGGCACGGUGCAUCAUGCUGAUUGGCGUGGUUCGGAUGUUGCUGUGAAGAUCCUCAUAGAUCAAGAUUUAUAUGAAGAGCGACUUAAGGAGUUCCUGAGAGAGGUUGCAAUCAUGAUACGUUUGCGACAUCCAAAUGUUGUCCUUUUCAUGGGUGCUGUAACAAAGCGUCCCAACUUGUCAAUUGUGACUGAAUAUUUACCAAGGGGAAGCUUGUAUCGUCUUAUUCAUAGAGCAGGACAAAGGGAGUUACUGGAUGAAAGGCGACGAUUGCGAAUGGCACUAGAUGUGGCCAAGGGAAUAAACUAUUUACAUCGGUAUGACCCUCCUAUUGUUCAUCGAGAUCUGAAGUCUCCUAAUUUAUUGGUUGACAAGACGUGGAAAGUGAAGGUUUGUGAUUUUGGUUUAUCACGAUUCAAGGCAAAUACAUUCAUCUCUUCCAAAUCUGCAGCGGGAACGCCUGAAUGGAUGGCUCCUGAAGUGCUUCGUGAUGAACCAUCCAAUGAGAAAUCUGAUGUCUAUAGUUUUGGUGUAAUUCUUUGGGAACUUGUCACUAUGCAGCAACCGUGGAGUGGCUUAAGUCCAGCUCAGGUUGUUGGAGCUGUUGGUUUUCAAAACAGGAGGCUUGCAAUUCCACCAGAUAUGCACCCUGAAAUAGCUUCCUUAAUUGAGGCUUGCUGGGCCAAUGACCCAAGACAGCGACCGAGUGUUUCAAAUAUUAUGGAUUCUUUAACAGCAUUGCUAAAGCCUUCAGCCGCACAACCUGUUCAUGGUGGGAAGUCAUAACUUUCUUCACUUCAAAGGCGUGCAUAUAAAGGGCGUGUCAUUUUCCUUGUUGUAGUAACUUCAGGCGGUUUUUUUCUAGUUUUGAGAUUUUGGAUUUUGUCGAUGACAGCUUAUUGUAAGGUGGAUAGGUUGUUGAAGUGCAAAGAAUUUGCAUGUUGGAUCUUGCUAUAGCGGCAAAUGUAAAUUAAAAAAUUCAUUUCUUAUUCUUUUGAGCCAUCUUCUCAGUCUUUGCUCAGUGUACUCUGUAAAUUUGAGAGCAAUUCUUGCUUUGAAGUAAUAGACUCAAAGAGAGUUGGCUUGUUGGUUCAGAAAUAAUAUUUAACCUUUAUGCCUCUCAUUACAUUCACAAUUAAUUUUUAGCACAAAUGGUUUGGCGUCA